Non-coding RNA from Fomitopsis betulina (razor strop fungus), 93 nucleotides. NCBI's taxonomy places the organism in Eukaryota, Fungi, Basidiomycota, Agaricomycetes, Polyporales, Fomitopsidaceae. The record is from the annotation of a GenBank genome assembly.
UCCCUGGUAGUAUAUCGGUUAGUACACGCGCCUGUCAUCCCGUCUUCGCCAGUGAGCGCGCGCGAAAGCGGGGUUCGACUCCCCGCCAGGGAG